RNAcentral lists this ribosomal RNA (253 nucleotides) under uncultured bacterium. RNAcentral's name for it is "partial 16S ribosomal RNA". It matches the Rfam family "Bacterial small subunit ribosomal RNA", at positions 524 to 776 of the family's 1533-position model. The record is from RNAcentral.
UACGGAGGGGGCUAGCGUUGUUCGGAAUUACUGGGCGUAAAGCGCGCGUAGGCGGAUCUGCAAGUCGGGGGUGAAAUCCCGAGGCUCAACCUCGGAACUGCCUUCGAUACUGCGGGUCUCGAGUCCGGGAGAGGUGAGUGGAAUUCCUAGUGUAGAGGUGAAAUUCGUAGAUAUUAGGAAGAACACCAGUGGCGAAGGCGGCUCACUGGCCCGGUACUGACGCUGAGGCGCGAAAGCGCGGGGAGCAAACAGG